GAUGAACGCUGGCGGCGUGCCUAAUACAUGCAAGUCGAACGAACAGACGAUAAGCUUGCUCUCCUGACGUUAGCGGCGGACGGGUGAGUAACAAGUGGAUAACCUACUUAUUAUACUGGGAUAAUUUCGGGAAACCGCAUAUAAUACCGCAUAAUACAUUGUACCGCUUAGUUCAAUAGUGCAACACAGUUUUCCCGACACUUUUAGCUGGUUUCGCGUUGUAUUAUCUAGUUGGUAAGGUAACGGCUUACCAAGGCAACGGAGCGUAGCUGACCUGAGAGGGUGAUCGGCCACACUGGAACUGAGACACGGUCCAGACUCCUACGGGAGGCAGCAGUAGGGAAUCUUCGGCAAUGGGCGAAAGCUUGACGGAGCAAGGCCGCGUGGGUGAUGAAGGUCUUCGGAUCGUAAACCUCUGUUAUUAGGAAAGAAAAGAUGUAGAAGUAACUAUGCACGUUUUGACGGUACCUAAUCAGAAAGCCACGGCUAACUACGUG
RNAcentral lists this ribosomal RNA (497 nucleotides) under uncultured bacterium. RNAcentral's name for it is "partial 16S ribosomal RNA". It matches the Rfam family "Bacterial small subunit ribosomal RNA", at positions 28 to 507 of the family's 1533-position model. The record is from RNAcentral.